UAAGUAUGGUUCAAGCUUUAAUCGGAAUUACUGGGCGUAAAGCGUGCGCAGGCGGUUAUAUAAGACAGAUGUGAAAUCCCCGGGCUCAACCUGGGAACUGCAUUUGUGACUGUAUAGCUAGAGUACGGCAGAGGGGGAUGGAAUUCCGCGUGGAGCAGUGAAAUGCGUAGAUAGGCGGAGGAACACCGAUGGCGAAGGCAAUCCCCUGGGACUGUACUUAAGCGCAUUCACAACAGCGAGGAGAGAAAACAGUAUUAGAUAACACCGUAGUCC
Molecule: ribosomal RNA, 273 nt
Filed under: uncultured bacterium
Lineage: Bacteria
Description: partial 16S ribosomal RNA
Rfam family: Bacterial small subunit ribosomal RNA
Source: RNAcentral